AAGUAGAACGCUGAAGGAGGAGCUUGCUUCUCUGGAUGAGUUGCGAACGGGUGAGUAACGCGUAGGUAACCUGCCUGGUAGCGGGGGAUAACUAUUGGAAACGAUAGCUAAUACCGCAUAAGAGCAGUUGUUGCAUGACAGCUGUUUAAAAGGUGCAAUUGCACCACUACCAGAUGGACCUGCGUUGUAUUAGCUAGUUGGUGAGGUAACGGCUCACCAAGGCGACGAUACAUAGCCGACCUGAGAGGGUGAUCGGCCACACUGGGACUGAGACACGGCCCAGACUCCUACGGGAGGCAGCAGUAGGGAAUCUUCGGCAAUGGGGGCAACCCUGACCGAGCAACGCCGCGUGAGUGAAGAAGGUUUUCGGAUCGUAAAGCUCUGUUGUAAGAGAAGAACGAGUGUGAGAGUGGAAAGUUCACGCUGUGACGGUAUCUUACCAGAAAGGGACGGCUAACUACGUGCCAGCAGCCGCGGUAAUACGUAGGUCCCGAGCGUUAUUCGGAUUUAUUGGGCGUAAAGCGAGCGCAGGCGGUUAGAUAAGUCUGAAGUUAAAGGCUGUGGCUUAACCAUAGUACGCUUUGGAAACUGUUUAACUUGAGUGCAAGAGGGGAGAGUGGAAUUCCAUGUGUAGCGGUGAAAUGCGUAGAUAUAUGGAGGAACACCGGUGGCGAAAGCG
This 679-nucleotide ribosomal RNA is filed under the name uncultured Bacilli bacterium. Its description in RNAcentral is "bacterial SSU rRNA". It matches the Rfam family "Bacterial small subunit ribosomal RNA", at positions 59 to 723 of the family's 1533-position model. The record is from RNAcentral. Lineage: Bacteria; Bacillati; Bacillota; Bacilli.